This 364-nucleotide RNase P RNA is filed under the name Gammaproteobacteria bacterium. RNAcentral describes it as "RNase P RNA component class A". It matches the Rfam family "Bacterial RNase P class A". Rfam says of the family: Ribonuclease P (RNase P) is a ubiquitous endoribonuclease, found in archaea, bacteria and eukarya as well as chloroplasts and mitochondria. Its best characterised activity is the generation of mature 5'-ends of tRNAs by cleaving the 5'-leader elements of precursor-tRNAs. The record is from RNAcentral. Lineage: Bacteria; Pseudomonadati; Pseudomonadota; Gammaproteobacteria.
CGAGCCGGCCGGGCAAUCGCUGGCCGCACGGGUUGACCCGUCGCGGCGGGAGGAAAGUCCGGGCUCCGGCGGACGGGACGCCAGGUAACGCCUGGGGGGCGCAAGCCCACGGAAAGUGCCACAGAAAAUAAACCGCCCGGGGCUCGUUUCGGCGCCGGGUAAGGGUGAAAAGGUGCGGUAAGAGCGCACCGCGCGGCUGGCAACAGCCGUGGCAGGGUAAACCCCGUUUGGAGCAAGGCUGAAUAGGGAAGCAAUGCGUAUGUCCGCGCGCGCUUCCGGGUGAGCCGCUUGAGGCCGCCGGCGACGGCGGUCCUAGAUGAAUGAUUGUUCUCGACAGAACCCGGCUUACAGGCCGGCUUGCCCC